UUUUAUUUGAGAGUUUGAUCCUGGCUCAGGAUGAACGCUGGCGGCGUGCCUAACACAUGCAAGUUGAGCGAUUUACUUCGGUAAAGAGCGGCGGACGGGUGAGUAACGCGUGGGUAACCUACCCUGUACACACGGAUAACAUACCGAAAGGUAUGCUAAUACGGGAUAAUAUAUUUGAGAGGCAUCUCUUGAAUAUCAAAGGUGAGCCAGUACAGGAUGGACCCGCGUCUGAUUAGCUAGUUGGUAAGGUAACG
RNAcentral lists this ribosomal RNA (254 nucleotides) under Clostridioides difficile. RNAcentral's name for it is "partial 16S ribosomal RNA". It matches the Rfam family "Bacterial small subunit ribosomal RNA", at positions 1 to 262 of the family's 1533-position model. The record is from RNAcentral. Lineage: Bacteria; Bacillati; Bacillota; Clostridia; Peptostreptococcales; Peptostreptococcaceae.